This 450-nucleotide ribosomal RNA is filed under the name uncultured bacterium. RNAcentral's name for it is "partial 16S ribosomal RNA". It matches the Rfam family "Bacterial small subunit ribosomal RNA", at positions 354 to 796 of the family's 1533-position model. The record is from RNAcentral.
GUGGGGAAUAUUCCGCAAUGGACGAAAGUCUGACGGAGCAACGCCGCGUGAGUGAUGAAGGUUUUCGGACUGUAAAGCUCUGUUGUUUAGGACGAAAGUGCCUGUUGCAAAUAGUUACAGGUAUUGACGGUACUGAACGAGGAAGCCACGGCUAACUACGUGCCAGCAGCCGCGGUAAUACGUAGGUGGCAAGCGUUGUCCGGAAUUAUUGGGCGUAAAGAGCAUGUAGGCGGGAAUCUAAGUCUGUUGUGAAAAUGCGGGGCUCAACCCCGUAUUGCGAUGGAAACUGGGUUUCUUGAGUGCAGGAGAGGAAAGGGGAAUUCCCAGUGUAGCGGUGAAAUGCGUAGAUAUUGGGAGGAACACCAGUGGCGAAGGCGGCUUCCUGGCACAAUACUGACGCUCAUGUGCGAAAGCUAGGGCAGCGAACGGGAUUAGAUACCCUUGUAGUCC